GAUGAACGCUGACAGAAUGCUUAACACAUGCAAGUCGAUUCGAUUUACCUUCGGGUAUUGAGGAUGGCGGACGGGUGAGUAACGCGUAAGGAACUUGCCUCUUGGUCUGGGACAACUGUUGGAAACGACAGCUAAUACCGGAUAUUAUGAGAUUCUCGCAUGGGAAACUUAUGAAAGCUAUAUGCGCCAAGAGAGAGCCUUGCGUUCCAUUAGCUAGUUGGUGGGGUAACGGCCCACCAAGGCGACGAUGGAUAGCCGGCCUGAGAGGGUGAACGGCCACAAGGGGACUGAGACACGGCCCUUACUCCUACGGGAGGCAGCAGUGGGGAAUAUUGGACAAUGGGCCACAAGCCUGAUCCAGCAAUUCUGUGUGCACGAUGAAGGUCUUCGGAUUGUAAAGUGCUUUCAGUUGGGAAGAAGCAAGUGACGGUACCAACAGAAGAAGCGACGGCUAGAUACGUGCCAGCAGCCGCGGUAAUACGUAUGUCGCAAGCGUUAUCCGGAUUUAUUGGGCGUAAAGCGCGUCUAGGCGGAAAAAUAANUCUGAUGUUAAAAUGCGGGGCUCAACUCCGUAUUGCGUUGGAAACUGUUUUUCUAGAGUACUGGAGAGGUGGGCGGAACUACAAGUGUAGAGGUGAAAUUCGUAGANAUUUGUAGGAAUGCC
This 664-nucleotide ribosomal RNA is filed under the name uncultured prokaryote. Its description in RNAcentral is "bacterial SSU rRNA". It matches the Rfam family "Bacterial small subunit ribosomal RNA", at positions 28 to 710 of the family's 1533-position model. The record is from RNAcentral.